Molecule: long non-coding RNA, 390 nt
Filed under: Cyanistes caeruleus (blue tit)
Lineage: Eukaryota; Metazoa; Chordata; Aves; Passeriformes; Paridae
Description: lncRNA (ENSCCEG00000011154.1)
Source: RNAcentral
CCUGGAUGGCAGCUUGGGAAACUGAUUUAAAUUAAACCAGCUUAGCAAAUAUAGCCCAAACACUUUGCUUUUGCUGAGAUUAGCUUCCCAACUCUGGUCUGCUGUGUUGCCUCCUGUUUGUGCUGGUCUCAUCGUGGGGUGAGCAGCUGGACAGGGUCAGACUGUGCAUUCAGGAUCAGUAUGGCCUUAUACUGCCCACAAGGAGGAAGCCAAACUCAAAAGACAUCAACAACAACAAAAAACCUGAGCAGUGAACCUAGAAUGUGUUAGAUCAAUGCAGACACCAUGAAAAAUAACCAGGACAUGCCUUUGUGGCUUUUGAUGUAGCUAUGUCUGUGGCUGAAACUAACAGAUGCAAAAGCUAACUGCCAGAUAUCCAAUGUGUGUGCC